RNAcentral lists this ribosomal RNA (500 nucleotides) under uncultured bacterium. RNAcentral describes it as "bacterial SSU rRNA". It matches the Rfam family "Bacterial small subunit ribosomal RNA", at positions 338 to 841 of the family's 1533-position model. The record is from RNAcentral.
CCUACGGGAGGCAGCAGUAAGGAAUAUUGGUCAAUGGGCGCAAGCCUGAACCAGCCAUGCCGCGUGCAGGAAGACGGCCCUAUGGGUUGUAAACUGCUUUUGAACAAGAGAAAACCUCGGUACGUGUACCGAGCUGAUAGUAUUGUUAGAAUAAGCAUCGGCUAACUUCGUGCCAGCAGCCGCGGUAAGACGAAGGAUGCAAGCGUUAUCCGGAUUCAUUGGGUUUAAAGGGUGCGUAGGCGGCCUGAUAAGUCAGUGGUGAAAUCUCUCAGCUUAACUGAGAAACUGCCAUUGAUACUGUCGGGCUUGAGUACAGAUGAUGUGGGCGGAAUAUGACAUGUAGUGGUGAAAUACUUAGAUAUGUCAUAGAACACCGAUUGCGAAGGCAGCUCACAAAACUGUAACUGACGCUGAGGCACGAAAGUGGNGGAGACAACAGAGUAGUAUACCUACGUAGUCGCGACCGUAACGUACUAGUAUUACUUCGUUGUUGGUCGAUA